CAGCAGCCGCGGGAAUACGGAGGGUGCAAGCGUUACUCGGAAUCACUGGGCGUAAAGGACGCGUAGGCGGAUUAUCAAGUCUCUUGUGAAAUCUAACGGCUUAACCGUUAAACUGCUUGGGAAACUGAUAAUCUAGAGUAAGGGAGAGGCAGAUGGAAUUCUUGGUGUAGGGGUAAAAUCCGUAGAUAUCAAGAAGAAUACCUAUUGCGAAGGCGAUCUGCUGGAACUUAACUGACGCUAAUGCGUGAAAGCGUGGGGAGCAAACAGGAUUAGAUACCCCGGUAGUCCCUGUCUCUUAUAC
This 301-nucleotide ribosomal RNA is filed under the name uncultured bacterium. RNAcentral's name for it is "partial 16S ribosomal RNA". It matches the Rfam family "Bacterial small subunit ribosomal RNA", at positions 509 to 807 of the family's 1533-position model. The record is from RNAcentral.